UACACUCCUACGGGAGGCAGCAGUGGGGAAUUUUGGACAAUGGGCGAAAGCCUGAUCCAGCAAUGCCGCGUGCAGGAUGAAGGCCUUCGGGUUGUAAACUGCUUUUGUACGGAACGAAAAAGCUCCUUCUAAUACAGGGGGCCCAUGACGGUACCGUAAGAAUAAGCACCGGCUAACUACGUGCCAGCAGCCGCGGUAAUACGUAGGGUGCGAGCGUUAAUCGGAAUUACUGGGCGUAAAGCGUGCGCAGGCGGUUAUGUAAGACAGAUGUGAAAUCCCCGGGCUCAACCAGGGAACUGCAUUUGUGACUGCAUGGCUAGAGUACGGUAGAGGGGGAUGGAAUUCCGCGUGUAGCAGUGAAAUGCGUAGAUAUGCGGAGGAACACCGAUGGCGAAGGCAAUCCCCUGGACCUGUACUGACGCUCAUGCACGAAAGCGUGGGGAGCAAACAGGAUUAGAUACCCCAGUAGUCCCAUGA
Molecule: ribosomal RNA, 477 nt
Filed under: uncultured organism
Description: partial 16S ribosomal RNA
Rfam family: Bacterial small subunit ribosomal RNA
Source: RNAcentral